Molecule: long non-coding RNA, 617 nt
Filed under: Callithrix jacchus (white-tufted-ear marmoset)
Lineage: Eukaryota; Metazoa; Chordata; Mammalia; Primates; Cebidae
Description: lncRNA (ENSCJAG00000077791.1)
Source: RNAcentral
CUAAUUAGUUGCCAUCCAUAUAUCCUCUUUCAUAAAUAAUUUUAAUUGGGUUAUUUUCUUACCCUUGAGUUUUUGUGUUUCUAGCAUACAGAUCCUAUGCAGGUUUUGUUAGAUUUAGAUCUAUUUCAUUUCGGAGCUCUUUUGGGUGAUUUAUUUUCUUAAAUUAUGGUUGUUAAUUGUCCACUACUGGCAUAUAGAAGUGUGAUUGGUUUUUGUGUAUUGACCUUGUAUUCUGCAACCUUGAUCAAUUUAUUAGCUUUAAAAACUUUUUCUGUAGAUUCCUUGGAAUUUUUUACAUAGACAAUCAUGUUAUAUGUGAACAGGAACAGUUUCAUUUCUUCUUGUCCACUCUAUAUGCCGUUUAUUUGUUUGUUUCCUUAUUGUACUUGCUUUAUUUCCUAAGAUGCGCAAUAAAGGAAUGUAGAAGAACGUUGGAAGAGAAGCAUUCUCACCUAUUGCUGAUCUUAACAGGAGCCAUAUGAAAAUGGAGCAGUAUGCGAGGCAAAUGUUUAUGCCUGGAGAACCCAGGUAGGUAUAGAUAAUACCAGCACCACUGGAGAGACAUAGCAAUUUGAUGCCCUUUCUCUCCCAUUUGUUUUGACCUUUAUUGAACUAAG